RNAcentral lists this ribosomal RNA (253 nucleotides) under uncultured bacterium. RNAcentral describes it as "partial 16S ribosomal RNA". It matches the Rfam family "Bacterial small subunit ribosomal RNA", at positions 524 to 776 of the family's 1533-position model. The record is from RNAcentral.
UACGUAGGCAGAAAGCGUUGUUCGGAAUUACUGGGCGUAAAGAGUGUGUAGGCGGUGCUCUAAGUCUGUUGUGAAAUCUCCCGGCUUAACUGGGAGGGUGCGGCGGAGACUGGAGUGCUAGAGUGUGGGAGAGGUAAGCGGAAUUCCUGGUGUAGCGGUGAAAUUCGUAGAUAUUCGCAAGAACACCAGUGGCGAAGGCGGCUCACUGGCCCGGUACUGACGCUGAGGCACGAAAGCGUGGGGAGCAAACAGG